Pavo cristatus (Indian peafowl) is the source of this 1943-nucleotide long non-coding RNA. NCBI's taxonomy places the organism in Eukaryota, Metazoa, Chordata, Aves, Galliformes, Phasianidae. The record is from Ensembl.
GGGGGGGGGGAGGGGGGAUCCCACCUGCACGCUGACAACGAUGACGAGGGAGGUGGCGACGGUGACGGCGAAGGACUGAUAGUCGGCCAGCUGCGCCCCGUCGUCACGCGUGGCGUCGGCGAAGACGCCGUAGGGGAUGAAGAACAUGAGCACGGAGGUGUAGAUGCCCUGGGCGAUGCAGAUGAAGAACUCACGCUUGUUGAAGAGCAGGUUGAGCUGGCCGGGCUCGUACAGCUUGGGGUACUCCAUGCUCCGCUGCUCCGGCACGUCCUGGGGGCACGUGGCAGGCUGGCACCUCCCUCAGCGCUGCGUGCUGGGGCUGAGCCGGCCCUGACAGCACCAGCAGCGGGACCAGGACGGCACCCAGAGACCCCCGGGCUCACCCUACCUGAUCAAAGACCCCCAUGGCCAGCACAGGCAGCGAGGUGUAGACGAUGUUGUACAGCGUGAUGAAGUACUGAUCGUACACCGUCUGCAAAGCGCGCCGGGCUCAGAGCGGUGCCCAAAGCCCCCCCAGCGCCCCACACGGCCCCGUGGUACCCCAAGCAGCGGGUGCUGCUGCCACCACGUGGCAGCCGGGGUGACAUGGAGGUGUGGGACGGGGGCACAGGGAUGGGGGGGGCACAGGAAUGGGGGGGCACGGCCCACGGAGCACACAGACCUGAGCAGAGAAGCCGCAGAAAAAGCCGAACCAGAAGUGGACCAUGGUGAAGGCGAAGUUCUUGUAGAAGAAGUAGCAGAGGAAUUUGCACAUGCGGAGGUAGGACCAGCGCCCGUGCACCAGCAGCAGGCGCUGCAGGAACUUGAACUGCGAGAAGGAGUAGUCGGAGGCCAGCACUGCCUGGAUGCCCUCCUGCCCGCUGAUGCCCACCCCGAUGUGGGCAGCUGCGGAAGAGGGGCACGGGGUGAGCGGCGCAGGGCGGCACCCCAGCAGCAGGAGGGACCCGGCCCCCUCCCGCGCUCGCUGGGCCCCAGGACUCACUCUUGAUCAUGCUGACGUCGUUGGCCCCAUCCCCAAUGGCCAAAGUGACCGCCUUCUUGUACUUCUUGACCAGCUCCACCACCUGUGCCUUCUGCAGGGGCGUCACACGGCAGCAGAUCACGGCCUUGCAGGCGCACGCCGUCUCCAAGAACUCCACCUCCAUGUCUGCCUCCAGCGCGUGGGCCUGGGAGGGGAGCGUGGGGCCAGGCUGUGCCCGUUGAUGACCAGAGCGUAUUCACCCGCGAUGGCUUCCAGCACGGAGAAGGGGAACCCGAGGCUGAGCAGAGGGGAAUGCCUGGCCCCCCAUCUCCGCCCUCACAGAUGGGACCCGGCCCACGAACGCCCUCAUCUCCAGCAGCGCUGCGCCUCACCCUGCUUGUCCCCCGUCAGCACCCAGAUCUUGAUGUUGGCCAGCGUCAGGAUGGCGAUGGUUUCGGGGACGCCCUGCUGCAGUUUGUCCUCGAUGGCUGUGGCUCCAAGCAGCUGUGGGACCGGGGCAGGUCCUUGCAGGCCAACACCAGCGUGCGCAGCCCCUCGCCGGCGUAUUCCUGCGAGCAGCCACAGCUGGGCACAGACAGACCCCAACGGCGUCCCCACACCUCGAUCCCCACAGGACGCAGCCCCCCCAGCCCUGCCUGCUGCCCCCCACCCCGCUCACAUUCAGGUGGUCCGUGGUGACGUUGGUCAGGUCCUGGUUGGAGGGGUGCAGGCGCUCCAGCAGGAUGGUGUCGGCGCCUUUGCAGUACAGCCGGAUCUUGCCCUCAGGGCUGCGCACUGCAGGAGGGGGGGGACAGGCUGCCAGGCUCGGGGGGGCAGGAGCAGACCCUCCUCCACGCCCCAACCACAGCCCUGCAAUACCUCCACACCGUGGGGUGCCGUUUCCCAGCACCAGGCUGAGCCCGAGCUGCCCAGCCCCGCUUCAGCCCGCCCCCAAACCCCCCAGCCCCGCUCUCACCGAUGA